GAUGAACGCUGGCGGCGUGCCUAAUACAUGCCAGUCGAGCGAACGGACGAGAAGCUUGCUUCUCUGAUGUUAGCGACGGACGGGUGAGUAACACGUGGAUAACCUACCUAUAAGACUGGGAUAACUUCGGGAAACCGGAGCUAAUACCGGAUAAUAUUUUGAACCGCAUGGUUCAAAAGUGAAAGACGGUCUUGCUGUCACUUAUAGAUGGAUCUGCGCUGCAUUAGCUAGUUGGUAAGGUAACGGCUUACCAAGGCAACGAUGCAUAGCCGACCUGAGAGGGUGAUCGGCCACACUGGAACUGAGACACGGUCCAGACUCCUACGGGAGGCAGCAGUAGGGAAUCUUCCGCAAUGGGCGAAAGCCUGACGGAGCAACGCCGCGUGAGUGAUGAAGGUCUUCGGAUCGUAAAACUCUGUUAUUAGGGAAGAACAUAUGUGUAAGUAACUGUGCACAUCUUGACGGUACCUAAUCAGAAAGCCACGGCUAACUACGUG
RNAcentral lists this ribosomal RNA (497 nucleotides) under uncultured bacterium. RNAcentral describes it as "partial 16S ribosomal RNA". It matches the Rfam family "Bacterial small subunit ribosomal RNA", at positions 28 to 507 of the family's 1533-position model. The record is from RNAcentral.